UAGAGUUUGAUUCUGGCUCAGACUGAACGCUGGCGGCAUGCCUUACACAUGCAAGUCGAACGGCAGCACGGGAGCAAUCUGGUGGCGAGUGGCGAACGGGUGAGUAAUGUAUCGGAACGUACCUUUCAGUGGGGGAUAACGUAGCGAAAGUUACGCUAAUACCGCAUAUUCUGUGAGCAGGAAAGCAGGGGAUCGCAAGACCUUGCGCUGAUUGAGCGGCCGAUAUCAGAUUAGCUAGUUGGUGAGGUAAAGGCUCACCAAGGCGACGAUCUGUAGCGGGUCUGAGAGGAUGAUCCGCCACACUGGAACUGAGACACGGUCCAGACUCCUACGGGAGGCAGCAGUGGGGAAUUUUGGACAAUGGGCGCAAGCCUGAUCCAGCCAUGCCGCGUGAGUGAAGAAGGCCUUCGGGUUGUAAAGCUCUUUCAGCCGGGAAGAAAACGCAUGGGUUAAUACCCUGUGUGGAUGACGGUACCGGAAUAAGAAGCACCGGCUAACUACGUGCCAGCGCCGCGGAAUAC
This 521-nucleotide ribosomal RNA is filed under the name uncultured Ferribacterium sp. Its description in RNAcentral is "bacterial SSU rRNA". It matches the Rfam family "Bacterial small subunit ribosomal RNA", at positions 1 to 526 of the family's 1533-position model. The record is from RNAcentral. Lineage: Bacteria; Pseudomonadati; Pseudomonadota; Betaproteobacteria; Rhodocyclales; Azonexaceae.